AGUCUCUCUGACUUGGGAUUUCACAAUACAAUCACCCACACAUGCUUGGUUGGGCAAAAGAAAAAAACAUAUUCAACAUCUAAGGGGAACUUCCAAGGAUUUUAAUAAGGAAACUAGCACAGGCCAACAACAGUUUCAGGUCUCAGUUACAUUUUAUAGCAAAUUAACCCACAUGCAUUACCCAAAAAAAAAAACAUGCAGAGCCAAAGGUCCCAAGCCACCAGUUCUUCACAAUCAGCCUCCCUUCGUUUUCGUGCUGAUCCUCACAAAGCCCCUGUGAAACUAUUAAUUGGUAAUUAGGAAUGGAACCAAGCAAAACUUCAGGUCGUUAAGCCACUACUAACCUGCAGUAAGUUCACAAAGAACUGCAGCAACAUUGACAAAACAAAGGAAAUUAAUUUCUACAUCUCUACACGCACAAACAAUAACAACAAAAGGGAAGCCAAACACAAACCAAGACAGAUAAUACAAAUGAAAAUAUCAUAGUGCACAAAAGAUAGAUUGUUUAAACUAUUGCAUUGCAUCAGACAUCCAAGGAAGGAUCUAGCAGCAUCAGCUCUCAAGCCUGGCAGGGCGAAAGCUCUUAGGCGGCAACUGCGAAUGUUUGAGAAACAAGCCUUAAAUUUAUCAUCAUUUGCAAUGCAAAGAAAUAUGCAAUGAAAUUCAACAAAAUAAAACAAAAACAGUAUAAAUAUUGGGAUAUUAACAAGGCUCAGACAUCCAAGGAAGGAAUUAGCAGCAUUAGCUCUCAAGCCUGGCAGGGCGAAAGCUCUUAGGCGGCAUCUGCGAAUGUUUUGAGAAACAAGCCUUAAAUUUAUCAUCAUUGCCAUAUUAUCUCCCUAGUUGACCAAAUAAUGCUGACUUAUGCUAUUAAACUAAAUCCCUCAGAGACCCGCUUAAAAUCACGCACACAGAUGAUUCAAACCAGCUGCAAAUGGAGAUUCCUGCAUAGACCAAACCACAAAGGCUAUGGUCAACGGAGGACACUUGCAGUGGAGAGAACCAGCUGUUGUUUACAGUGUCAUACGGCACUUCCUAUGGUCUGAGAAUCUUCACCGGGACAAUUUAAGAAACGAAAUUGAUACUACAAGAGAGAUUUCAUACUACAAACAGUAUAGAAGCUGGUGGUAUUAAGCCUCAGAAAGCCGCAAAAAUAUCGUCAUUUGAUAUCAGACGGUAAUUCCAACAUAAAGCUAAUCAUCAUAGGCGUCAAUUGCAUUGUAGAUAUAAUGCCGAAGGCAGAUUGACAGAUAAAAAUCGAAAAAUAGUUAAGGCGUAUCAUCAGAAUAUAAAGCCUUCUCAUUCACAGGAAAAUAGGCACUGUGUCAGAAGGUGUCCUAAGAUUGUUUCAUGGUUUCAUCCCCUGAUACUGAGCAAAUCAGCAAAAAAAAUGAAACAGAAAAAAACUAAUCUCUGAUGGACUCAGAUGCAAAGAUGACAUCAAUGGACGGCACAGGCCGGCCUCGGAUCAAGUGUUGGAUUAUGCAUCAGUAAAUCCUCACGGUCCAAAGAGAUCUUGUACAGAACAAGCAAAUGAAGAUCAGAAGUGAAGAAAAAUUGGAGGGUACAACACAGUUACUCAGUGGUGGCAAUAUUUAAUUGGUUCGAUUCUGCCAGCGAUGUCGUCAAUGCUUUCAGAAGAGGGAGCUUGUUAUCCUCAUCGCAACUACGUCCUCCAAUACAAAACAAAAAUAACAAACAUGACAGACGCGAAUCCGGGGGAAAGAACAAUGAACAGCAGAUUGAAAAAUCAGGAAUCGGAUGGCUCAGUUCAGCGGGAUAAUCGGCAUACAGACCAACUCCUGAGAGAAAACCUGUGAUUUGGUCUGUUGAGCUUGAAUAUUUGCAAAUCGUCACUGCCAUCACCUGAAUGAAAAAGAACUGGUCGGAAAGAAAAUCGAACGAAUUGCGAGAUCUCUCAGCCCUGACCGUAAUAGGUUGGGUGGUUUGGUGGAGGAGGCUGGAACUUGAGCUCCGCUCCGGCGGCGAUGAUGGGAUCUCUGUGGAUGGACGGGCAGUUAUAUACGGAUGAAUAUCUGGGUUAGGGUUUAGAUUAGAAGUUCGCGCUGGGUGGUGGCGGCGUGUCUGCGGAUACUUCGCCGUGGGCCGCGAUUUCACUUCUACCUGCUCACACGGAACUUUUUGUUUGAACUGGGCUUGGAACAAACUACAGAUUUGUGCAUAACCCUUUCAGUACAGCCCAUAUGGCAGCACUAGGCCCC
RNAcentral lists this long non-coding RNA (2222 nucleotides) under Hordeum vulgare. RNAcentral describes it as "long non-coding RNA (HVUL_LNC016311)". The record is from RNAcentral. Lineage: Eukaryota; Viridiplantae; Streptophyta; Magnoliopsida; Poales; Poaceae.